UGCAGAUUGAACAAGAAAAACUGGCAUCUAUGAAAAAGCAAGAUGAAGACAAAGAUAAAAGAGAUAAGGAAGAAAAAGAAAGCAGCAGAGAAAAAAGGGAGCGGUCUCGUAGCCCAAGAAGACGCAAAUCCAGAUCUCCUUCCCCUAGAAGACGAUCUUCCCCUGUCAGGAGAGAGAGAAAGCGCAGUCAUUCUCGAUCUCCCCGUCACAGAACCAAGAGCCGGAGUCCUUCCCCUGCUCCAGAAAAGAAGGAAAAAACUCCAGAGCUCCCAGAACCUUCAGUGAAAGUAAAAGAACCUUCAGUACAAGAGGCUACUUCUACUAGUGACAUUCUGAAAGUUCCCAAACCUGAACCUAUACCAGAGCCUAAAGAACCUUCUCCGGAAAAAAAUUCCAAAAAAGAAAAGGAGAAGGAGAAGACCCGACCACGAUCUCGGUCACGCUCCAAAUCAAGAUCCCGGACGCGGUCCCGCUCUCCUUCUCACACUCGACCUAGACGGCGCCAUAGAUCCCGAUCAAGGUG
Molecule: long non-coding RNA, 523 nt
Filed under: Pan troglodytes (chimpanzee)
Lineage: Eukaryota; Metazoa; Chordata; Mammalia; Primates; Hominidae
Description: long non-coding RNA NONPTRT000136
Source: RNAcentral